GAGAAAGAGGGUAGGGCCCCGCCUCACAUAUGUCGUCACCUCUCUCCGAUAGCCACCACCACUUCGAACUAGCCACCGCCACUGUCAAUCCUUCGCGCCACCAAAGCCACUGUGAAUCCUAGCGACUCAACCAUAGCAGCGACCACGUGAAUCUUCUUUUCGCGAACCAGAAACGCCACCUUAAAUUGCAAACCUCCAUAGCCGCCGCGUCGAUUCCCCCAUCUCCUCCAACAGUGCGCCACUAAUCUUCCUCAUUUUCUCACAAAACCAGUUUCUCUCCUUGCUCGCGCCAUCUCUAAUGGCGUCUCUGGGAACACCAAUGGACCGUGCUCCAAAAUGAAAAAUAAAAGGGGAACCGUUUCUGAGUUUUGCUCUAUGUGUGUGGGUGCAGGAAAUCGGUCCCUGCUUUGGGUUGUGGUUCCUGUUUCGAUGGUUCACAUUUGGAUAUUUGGUUGGUUUCUUUUCUUGCAGGUGAAAGGCGUUUGAUCACAAAGAGGAUUUUUCUGUGUUGUAGUGUAGUGGAUGAGAUUGGGAAUUUUUGUGUUGAUAGCAGGNAAUGGACAAAACCGUGAAGUUCCAAGGGAUGAACAGAAUGAUUCUGAUGCAGAUGAAGAUAUGGUACAAUUUUUGUGGAGACAAUUUUUGGGUUGUUAGUGGUUUUGGGUUAAUUUUAGAAGGGAGAGAUAUUUGGAUGUUUGAAGUAUGAAGAUGUUUGGUUUUUUUGCUUGGUGACUGAGGUUUCGAAUGGAGAAAGCAGAGUGAUGGCUAAAGCUAACUGUAACAGUGGGCAUAACGGUGAUGAAGUUCAAAAAUGACCGGCGAUGGUAAUAUACUAUUCUCUCACGACACCAUGGCAAAACAAAUAAAAUAGUAUCCCAUAUACAACAUUAUACACAAAAACCAGUAACGCGAAUAAGUGUUUACCUGUGCAAAGUUGCUCUUGGAGUUGUUCUUGAAGAAACAAGUUUCUUCCAACUGAUUGAAUAUCCGAGAGCUUUGCCGCUAAAUCUUCACCUCCGGUCAAGCUUUGUGUGUAAUUUUUCUCUUGUUCUUCCUUGCUGCCCCCGUCUAAUUUUUUCUUUUUGCUUUUUUUUCUUUCCUUCCUCUCAAUACCCUCUCCCCUCUUCCUAACCGUUUUUUUUUUCGUCCAAAACCCUAAACCCUUUGCCAGCUCACCCUCUAGCCCCCCCUCUUCCUGAUCCCAAGAAAAAUCCCUUUUGCUAACAAACUUCUUUUUUUCUUUUUUUUUUGUUAACACGUUUUUUUUUAUCUUCUUUUUCUUUCUUUCGUUUUUUUUAUUAGCUUUUUUUCAUUCAUCAUUUUCAUUUUUAUUUCUUUUCUUUCUUUUUUUCAAAAGAAUAUAUAUAUAAAAAAAAUCAAAUCAGAUAAUAAUAAUAAAACUAAAUCAAAGUAAAUUAAACAUAAUAGAACAAAACAAAAUAAGACAAAAUAAAAACAAGUCCUAUUAUUAGCUACCCGGACGAAAUUGGGUGUUGACAGUAAUAUUUGGGAUUUUUUUAAGGAUGUAAAGUUGUAUUUGGAACAGUUAAUGUCAUUGUCAAUAAUGAAAGUUAUUUUUGUAAAGUAUAUUGUAUUGUGGUGAGCAUCCCCUUUGUUAUUUUUUCUUGUAUUACUUAAGUUAGUUGAAGCUAUGUAUAUGGGGGGGACCAAGUACAGGUAUGUCUGGGUUGGGAUAUAAGUUUAUGCAACGGUAAGCGAUUACACGGACACUGUAAUCGCUUACCAGCACGAAAAAUGAAAUUUGUACUAAAUCCUGAGAGGUGCUAACUGAGCCUGCCUAAAUGGCUCCCAAGUAUUGUCAAGUGAGGCAUGGGUGGUUGUGUCCUCUUGAACAACGUUGAAGGAAGUGGAGGUCACAUGGAACGGAAAGCGAUUACAGGGACCCUGUAANUUUUUUUUAAAAGAAAAGUAGAUAAAAAUAAAUUACAAGUAUAGAAAUAAGUUGGUAAAUUAUCAAAUAAAAAUAAAAAAUUUAAUGAUAGAAUAAAAAUAUAGUGGUGUAUAUAUAAAAAGAUGGGGUGUCUAAACUAUACUUAGAAAACUAAUUGGGCCUAAACCCAAGUGGCAAAGGGUGCACCUUAGAAAAAACAAGGGGUGCAAAUUUAAUUUUUUUGUCAAAUAUCAAAUUGGGUCUGAGCCCAAAUUAAAAAAAAACGACUUAGGAAAAAUAGGGAGUGUAGGGAAAAGUUAGUGUUUUUGUUCUGGCCCAGAGUUGGCCCAAGCAGAAAGGAUGUGAGGAGAACGAAACAGGGGUGCAGGCAGGUAUUCUCGUUUUUUUUUUUUUUUGACUUGGCCCAUAGUUAAUUUAGACAGAAAGGGGUGUGAAAAUGAGGAAAAGGGGGUCAGAGGGAAAUUGUUUCUAAUGGCCCAUGCUGGCCCAAACAACUUAAACUUUCAGAAACCCUAAGGGGUUCUCCCAAUCUGCCUCAUUUCGAAAUUCCACUCCAGAGACCAAGAGACCUAACGUCUCUUNCCCCCAGCCUAAGGACUCCACCUCCGACAGCCGCACUGCUUCCUCACCACCAACCUACCGGCCGCCGUGUCGCCACCCAGUUUUCCCUUAGCAUCACCGGCGCCGCUACACCAUUGNCGAUCGUGACAUCUUCACCUUCUCCGAAUGCUCUGGCGCGAGAAAGAGGGUAGGGCCCCGCCUCACAUAUGUCGUCACCUCUCUCCGAUAGCCACCACCACUUCGAACUAGCCACCGCCACUGUCAAUCCUUUGCGCCACCAAAGCCACUGUGAAUCCUAGCGACUCAACCAUAGCAACGACCACGUGAAUCUUCUUUUCGCGAACCAAAAACGCCACCUUAAAUUGCAAACCUCCAUAGCCGCCGCGUCGAUUCCCCCAUCUCCUCCAACAGUGCGCCACUAAUCUUCCUCAUUUUCUCACAAAACCAGUUUCUCUCCUUGCUCGCGCCAUCUCUAAUGGCGUCUCUGGGAACACCAAUGGACCGUGCUCCAAAAUGAAAAAUAAAAGGGGAACCGUUUCUGAGUUUUGCUCUAUGUGUGUGGGUGCAGGAAAUCGGUCCC
RNAcentral lists this long non-coding RNA (3053 nucleotides) under Vigna radiata. RNAcentral describes it as "long non-coding RNA (VRAD_LNC006204)". Lineage: Eukaryota; Viridiplantae; Streptophyta; Magnoliopsida; Fabales; Fabaceae. The record is from RNAcentral.